GGGUAGGUGGCUCAGUGGUUAAGAGCACUGGCUGUUUGUCCAGAGGAUCUGGGUUCAAUUCCCAGAACCCA
Molecule: transfer RNA, 71 nt
Filed under: Mus musculus (house mouse)
Lineage: Eukaryota; Metazoa; Chordata; Mammalia; Rodentia; Muridae
Rfam family: tRNA
About the family: Transfer RNA (tRNA) molecules are approximately 80 nucleotides in length. Their secondary structure includes four short double-helical elements and three loops (D, anti-codon, and T loops).
Source: Rfam by way of RNAcentral